AGAGCGAACGCUGGCGGCAUGCUUAACACAUGCAAGUCGCACGGUCAGGUUUCGGCCUGGUAGUGGCGGACGGGUGAGUAACGCGUAGGUAUCUAUCCGAAGGUGGGGGAUAACGGCGGGAAACUGCUGCUAAUACCGCAUAUGACCUGAGGGUCAAAGGUCGCAAGACCGCCUGUGGAGGAGCCUGCGUACGAUUAGCUUGUUGGUGGGGUAAAGGCCUACCAAGGCGACGAUCGUUAGCUGGUCUGAGAGGAUGAUCAGCCACAUUGGGACUGAGACACGGCCCAAACUCCUACGGGAGGCAGCAGUGGGGAAUAUUGGACAAUGGGGGCAACCCUGAUCCAGCAAUGCCGCGUGUGUGAAGAAGGUCUUCGGAUUGUAAAGCUACUUUCGACGGGGACGAUGAUGACGGUACCGUAUAAGAACGCCCCGGCUAACUUCGUGCCAGCAGCCGC
RNAcentral lists this ribosomal RNA (455 nucleotides) under uncultured bacterium. RNAcentral describes it as "SSU rRNA". It matches the Rfam family "Bacterial small subunit ribosomal RNA", at positions 26 to 518 of the family's 1533-position model. The record is from RNAcentral.